AGACGCCCUGCGGCCGCUUUGCCUGACCAAAGUCUGUGGGCGUGGAACAGGCCCUGGGUUCUCCUACUGGGAAGAAUGAAGUUCAGGUACUCCAUGUGAUAUAUGGUUCCACAAUCCUCAGCGUGUUAACUGAAGCCUUGUUGAGUUUAACAAAGCUGCCAUUGAAGAUCUGGGGAAAGUGAAGAAGUUGCAACAGAGUUUUGGGCUCACACCAUUGAUACAUUUGAUCCUUAAGGCCCACCCCGCCUCACUCCCACCCUCUUCUACUUAAUUCAGGAUGUGAAUAGCACAUGCCUUCCAUCUUCAGACAAACACUGAGGCCUGGACAAUGACCUGCAUUAGGUAGAUAGAAUCUACUGAAAGCUAAAAG
Molecule: long non-coding RNA, 370 nt
Filed under: Homo sapiens (human)
Lineage: Eukaryota; Metazoa; Chordata; Mammalia; Primates; Hominidae
Description: non-protein coding lnc-CPM-2:8
Source: RNAcentral